RNAcentral lists this ribosomal RNA (370 nucleotides) under uncultured organism. Its description in RNAcentral is "bacterial SSU rRNA". It matches the Rfam family "Bacterial small subunit ribosomal RNA", at positions 526 to 896 of the family's 1533-position model. The record is from RNAcentral.
CGUAGGGUGCAAGCGUUAAUCGGAAUUACUGGGCGUAAAGCGUGCGCAGGCGGUUUUGUAAGUCUGUCGUGAAAUCCCCGGGCUCAACCUGGGAAUUGCGAUGGGGACAGCAAGGCUAGAAUCUGGCAGAGGGGGGUAGAAUUCCACGUGUAGCAGUGAAAUGCGUAGAGAUGUGGAGGAACACCGAUGGCGAAGGCAGUCCCCUGGGUCAAGAUUGACGUUCAUGCACGAAAGCGUGGGGAGCAAACAGGAUUAGAUACCCUGGUAGUCCACGUCCUAAACGAUGUCUACUAGUUGUCGGGUUUUAAUUAACUUGGUAACGCAGCUAACGCGUGAAGUAGACCGCUUGGGGAGUACGGUCGCAAGAUUA